CUGUAAAACACUUAUUAUUCGCGAGAAAUUUAUUUUCGCUAAUAUUCGCGAAUUUUCUAAGACGCGAAUUCAUAUUUCUCGCGAAUAUUUCACUUAGUCUAUACACUUGUCCGAAAAUGAACACUAUCCGAAAAUGCGAAUUGGAAAAAACUUCUUCGCUGCAUAUUACCUGUGUCAAGGAAGGUAACUGUGACUUGCACUAGAAUU
This is a long non-coding RNA of Ruditapes philippinarum (Manila clam), 207 nucleotides long. RefSeq lists it as uncharacterized. The record is from RefSeq and is a predicted model, not a curated record. NCBI's taxonomy places the organism in Eukaryota, Metazoa, Mollusca, Bivalvia, Venerida, Veneridae. The transcript has 2 exons.